RNAcentral lists this ribosomal RNA (2926 nucleotides) under Bacillus amyloliquefaciens. Its description in RNAcentral is "23S ribosomal RNA". The record is from RNAcentral. Lineage: Bacteria; Bacillati; Bacillota; Bacilli; Caryophanales; Bacillaceae.
GGUUAAGUCCUCGAUCGAUUAGUAUCUGUCAGCUCCAUGUGUCGCCACACUUCCACCUCAGACCUAUCAACCUGAUCAUCUUUCAGGGAUCUUACUUCCUUGCGGAAUGGGAAAUCUCAUCUUGAGGGGGGCUUCAUGCUUAGAUGCUUUCAGCACUUAUCCCGUCCGCACAUAGCUACCCAGCGAUGCCCUUGGCAGAACAACUGGUACACCAGCGGUGCGUCCAUCCCGGUCCUCUCGUACUAAGGACAGCUCCUCUCAAAUUUCCUGCGCCCGCGACGGAUAGGGACCGAACUGUCUCACGACGUUCUGAACCCAGCUCGCGUACCGCUUUAAUGGGCGAACAGCCCAACCCUUGGGACCGACUACAGCCCCAGGAUGCGAUGAGCCGACAUCGAGGUGCCAAACCUCCCCGUCGAUGUGGACUCUUGGGGGAGAUAAGCCUGUUAUCCCCGGGGUAGCUUUUAUCCGUUGAGCGAUGGCCCUUCCAUGCGGAACCACCGGAUCACUAAGCCCGACUUUCGUCCCUGCUCGACUUGUAGGUCUCGCAGUCAAGCUCCCUUGUGCCUUUACACUCUGCGAAUGAUUUCCAACCAUUCUGAGGGAACCUUUGGGCGCCUCCGUUACCUUUUAGGAGGCGACCGCCCCAGUCAAACUGCCCACCUGACACUGUCUCCCCGCCCGAUAAGGGCGGCGGGUUAGAAGGUCAAUACAGCCAGGGUAGUAUCCCACCGAUGCCUCCACCGAAGCUGGCGCUCCGGUUUCCAAGGCUCCUACCUAUCCUGUACAAGCUGUACCAACAUUCAAUAUCAGGCUGCAGUAAAGCUCCACGGGGUCUUUCCGUCCUGUCGCGGGUAACCUGCAUCUUCACAGGUACUAUAAUUUCACCGAGUCUCUCGUUGAGACAGUGCCCAGAUCGUUGCGCCUUUCGUGCGGGUCGGAACUUACCCGACAAGGAAUUUCGCUACCUUAGGACCGUUAUAGUUACGGCCGCCGUUUACUGGGGCUUCAAUUCGCACCUUCGCUUACGCUAAGCGCUCCUCUUAACCUUCCAGCACCGGGCAGGCGUCAGCCCCUAUACUUCGCCUUACGGCUUCGCAGAGACCUGUGUUUUUGCUAAACAGUCGCCUGGGCCUAUUCACUGCGGCUCUCUCGGGCUUGCACCCUAACAGAGCACCCCUUCUCCCGAAGUUACGGGGUCAUUUUGCCGAGUUCCUUAACGAGAGUUCUCUCGAUCACCUUAGGAUUCUCUCCUCGCCUACCUGUGUCGGUUUGCGGUACGGGCACCUCUCACCUCGCUAGAGGCUUUUCUUGGCAGUGUGGAAUCAGGAACUUCGCUACUAUAAUUCGCUCGCCAUCACAGCUCAGCCUUCACGGGAAACGGAUUUGCCUAUUUCCCAGCCUAACUGCUUGGACGCGGAUAUCCAAUACCGCGCUUACCCUAUCCUCCUGCGUCCCCCCAUUGCUCAAAUGGUGAGGAGGUGGUACAGGAAUAUCAACCUGUUAUCCAUCGCCUACGCCUUUCGGCCUCGGCUUAGGUCCCGACUAACCCUGAGCGGACGAGCCUUCCUCAGGAAACCUUAGGCAUUCGGUGGAGGGGAUUCUCACCCCUCUUUCGCUACUCAUACCGGCAUUCUCACUUCUAAGCGCUCCACAAGUCCUUCCGGUCUUGCUUCACAGCCCUUAGAACGCUCUCCUACCACUGUUCGAAGAACAGUCCGCAGCUUCGGUGAUACGUUUAGCCCCGGUACAUUUUCGGCGCAGAGUCACUCGACCAGUGAGCUAUUACGCACUCUUUAAAUGGUGGCUGCUUCUAAGCCAACAUCCUGGUUGUCUAAGCAACUCCACAUCCUUUUCCACUUAACGUAUACUUUGGGACCUUAGCUGGCGGUCUGGGCUGUUUCCCUUUCGACUACGGAUCUUAUCACUCGCAGUCUGACUCCCAAGGAUAAGUCAUCGGCAUUCGGAGUUUGACUGAAUUCGGUAACCCGGUAGGGGCCCCUAGUCCAACCAGUGCUCUACCUCCGAGACUCUUACCUUGAGGCUAGCCCUAAAGCUAUUUCGGAGAGAACCAGCUAUCUCCAGGUUCGAUUGGCAUUUCACCCCUACCCACACCUCAUCCCCGCACUUUUCAACGUGCGUGGGUUCGGGCCUCCAUUCAGUGUUACCUGAACUUCACCCUGGACAUGGGUAGAUCACCUGGUUUCGGGUCUACGACCACGUACUCAAUUCGCCCUAUUCAGACUCGCUUUCGCUGCGGCUCCGCAUCUUCUGCUUAACCUUGCACGGGAUCGUAACUCGCCGGUUCAUUCUACAAAAGGCACGCCAUCACCCGUUAACGGGCUCUGACUACUUGUAGGCACACGGUUUCAGGAUCUCUUUCACUCCCCUUCCGGGGUGCUUUUCACCUUUCCCUCACGGUACUGGUUCACUAUCGGUCACUAGGGAGUAUUUAGCCUUGGGAGAUGGUCCUCCCGGAUUCCGACGGAAUUUCACGUGUUCCGCCGUACUCAGGAUCCACUCAGGAGAGAACGAAGUUUUGACUACAGGGCUGUUACCUCCUAUGGCGGGCCUUUCCAGACCUCUUCAUCUACCUCGUUCCUUUGUAACUCCGUACAGAGUGUCCUACAACCCCAAGAGGCAAGCCUCUUGGUUUGGGCUGGUCCCGUUUCGCUCGCCGCUACUCAGGGAAUCGCAUUUGCUUUCUCUUCCUCCGGGUACUUAGAUGUUUCAGUUCCCCGGGUCUGCCUUCUCAUAUCCUAUGUAUUCAGAUAUGGAUACCACUCCAUUACGAGUGGUGGGUUUCCCCAUUCGGAAAUCUCCGGAUCAAAGCUUGCUUACAGCUCCCCGAAGCAUAUCGGUGUUCGUCCCGUCCUUCAUCGGCUCCUAGUGCCAAGGCAUCCACCGUGCGCCCUUUCUAACUUAA